This is a long non-coding RNA of Panthera uncia (snow leopard), 1212 nucleotides long. RefSeq lists it as uncharacterized. Lineage: Eukaryota; Metazoa; Chordata; Mammalia; Carnivora; Felidae. The transcript is spliced from 4 exons. The record is from RefSeq and is a predicted model, not a curated record.
ACUGUCAUGACAGAAGGAAGACUAACUAAGGAGGACUACUGGCUUGCAAAUGACUGGCAGAAGCCCUGACAUCUGCGGUCUUGAAGAAAUUCCAGAAGACCAAAACCAAGUGGAUGUAUCUCUUUUUCAUACAGGCCCGAGAGGGGGCAGAACCAGGUUCCUCCCCACCCAGGAUGGGAAGAAAUGGACACCAGGAUGGAGCAGGCCAGCCCUGGGCAACACCGUGGACUGGGUUCCGGUUGAAGAAGGAAGCACUUUUUUAUGGAGGCAUCUUUUGGAAAUGGCAGACAGAAACCUUCACCCCAAAAAACAGACCAUGUCUUCUAUAGGACACAGGAAGAAAUGGGAAGACAGACCUGUGUUUCAAUCCUGCCUGGGUGACCUUAAGGAAGGUAAUAUUCCAUUACGUGGAUAUACUACAUUUUGCCUAUUCAUUCAUAUGUUGCUGGACAUUUCUACUUUGGGGCUACUACGGACAAUGCUUCUAUGAACAUUUGCAUACAAGUUUUUGUGUGGACAUGUGUUUCCAAUUCUGCUGUGUACACACCUAGGAGUGGAAUUACUAGGUCACUUAAUAACUCUGUGUUGAAUUUUCCAAGGAACUGCCAAACUUUUCCAAAGCAGCUGCGCUAGUUUACAUUCCCAUUAUCUGCAUAUCUUUUUUUUGGAGAAAUGUCUAUUCAAAUCUUUUGCCCAUUUUCAGUUGGCUUAUUCGUCUAAUAUCGUACGGUAAGAGCUGUAGACAAUAAAGUGUUGAAUAAGAAAAAAAUGAGGAACUUGCGCUACUAAGUAUAAAAACGUAUAGCAGCAUUCUAGAAAUCUACUGUGAUUCAGAAAGUACCGUCAAUCCUCAUUAUUUACAGACUCUGAUCUGUGAACCUGCCUACUCUCUGAAAUUUAUUUGUAACCCCAAUCAAUUCCUGUGGUAAUGCAGAGGGGCGAACUCUAGUAGCUGAGGUGGAAGGAGACAACACUCUACCUUUUUGCUUCACCUUCGAACUGUAAACGAGUGUCCUUUUGGCUACUUGGUGCCACGGUUUUCGCAUUCUUAUUGUGGUUUUGCAGUUCAGAAUGGCUCCCAAGGAUGCUGUGUGUUUGUGGGGACGGGGUAUAUGGGAACUCUCUGCACUUUCUACUUAACUUUGCUAUGAACCCAAAACUCAACAAAUAGUUCACUAAUUAAAAAAUGGUCUCGGAGCACAGUGCUAAAGU